This 446-nucleotide ribosomal RNA is filed under the name uncultured bacterium. Its description in RNAcentral is "SSU rRNA". It matches the Rfam family "Bacterial small subunit ribosomal RNA", at positions 26 to 518 of the family's 1533-position model. The record is from RNAcentral.
AGAGCGAACGCUGGCGGCAGGCCUAAUACAUGCAAGUCGAACGGACCCUUCGGGGUUAGUGGCGGACGGGUGAGUAACACGUGGGAACGUGCCCCUUGGUUCGGAACAACACAGGGAAACUUGUGCUAAUACCGGAUAAGCCCUUACGGGGAAAGAUUUAUCGCCGAAAGAUCGGCCCGCGUCUGAUUAGCUAGUUGGUGAGGUAACGGCUCACCAAGGCGACGAUCAGUAGCUGGUCUGAGAGGAUGAUCAGCCACAUUGGGACUGAGACACGGCCCAAACUCCUACGGGAGGCAGCAGUGGGGAAUAUUGGACAAUGGGCGCAAGCCUGAUCCAGCCAUGCCGCGUGAGUGAUGAAGGCCCUAGGGUUGUAAAGCUCUUUUGUGCGGGAAGAUAAUGACGGUACCGCAAGAAUAAGCCCCGGCUAACUUCGUGCCAGCAGCCGC